CACGUAGGGCGCAAGCGUUGUCCGGAAUUAUUGGGCGUAAAGAGCUCGUAGGCGGUCUGUUGCGUCGGCUGUGAAAACCCGAGGCUCAACCUCGGGCCUGCAGCCGAUACGGGCAGACUAGAGUUCGGCAGGGGAGACUGGAAUUCCUGGUGUAGCGGUGAAAUGCGCAGAUAUCAGGAGGAACACCGGUGGCGAAGGCGGGUCUCUGGGCCGAUACUGACGCUGAGGAGCGAAAGCGUGGGGAGCGAACAGG
RNAcentral lists this ribosomal RNA (253 nucleotides) under uncultured bacterium. RNAcentral describes it as "partial 16S ribosomal RNA". It matches the Rfam family "Bacterial small subunit ribosomal RNA", at positions 524 to 776 of the family's 1533-position model. The record is from RNAcentral.